GAGAGAGAGAGAGAGAGAGAGAGAGAGAGAGAGAGAGAGAGAGAGAGAGAGAGAGAGCGCCAGAUGAAAGGGUAGCGAAGGAGGGGUGAACCCCACUCGAGCGCGCGGGGGGAUGGGGAGAGGGGGAAAGGGGAGCGAGGUUUGGGGAAUGAAUCAUACACCUUCCCCUCCUCUUCCCUGCUGUCUCUCUCUAUCACUUCCCUUCUCCGCCGCCUCCCCUUCGCCCCCUUUCCGUUGCAACCCUCCCCCACCAAAGGGAAGUGGCCCUUAACGCCUCUUGUCCCAGUGAUCAAUUUAGGGUGAUUCACGCAACAAAAUCUGCGCAGGGCCAGUGUGGGUUGCGGCGGCCCGGCUCGGCGCGCAGGCAAGCAGAGACUUCACACGCACCCUCUGAGCACUCAUGGGCGGUAACUCCACUGCUCCGCCACACCUUGUUCGACCAUACCGACGUGAAAGUGUACCAGUGAAAGUGCCGUCCAGGUCAAUGUGCUUCUGUAGGUGCACAUAGGGUUUUUAUCCGCACAUGCAUACACGUUCACACACACACACACACGCACAGGAUACGCGGUGUGUGUGUGAGAGGGGACAUUCUUCAGCAUUCAUCAGAGAUUACCCAAUAUCCUGAGGUAAAGAGGCCUGAGUCUAGGCGAAGUAUCAUUCACCAGAAGAAAAGACAAUAUUCCAUCAGAUGGCACACUGCGAGGGCGUUCGGGGUGGAGACGGCGGUCGAGAGCAGGAAGUCAGCUCGCAAAAGUGGGCUACCGUAAUGUCAGAGUUGCCGUCGAAGCCUUUGAGACAUACUGCUCUUUGCCUCCAUUGGUGAGAUUUGGAAGAGGCGAUUAGGAAAACCUCUCAGACAAAAGUAGCGAUGUUUUCUCUAAUGGAGGAAAACGUUCCUGCAUUUUACUUAUAAACAAUAUGAUAAAUUGAUUAUAAAUGAUAUUUUC
Molecule: non-coding RNA, 947 nt
Organism: Penaeus vannamei (Pacific white shrimp)
Lineage: Eukaryota; Metazoa; Arthropoda; Malacostraca; Decapoda; Penaeidae
Source: RefSeq, a predicted model, not a curated record